CCUACGGGUGGCAGCAGUGGGGAAUAUUGCACAAUGGGGGAAACCCUGAUGCAGCGACGCCGCGUGAGUGAAGAAGUAUUGCGGUAUGUAAAGCUCUAGCAGCAGGGAAGAAAAGGACGGUACCUGAUUAAGAAGCCACGGCUAACUACGUGCCAGCAGCCGCGGUAAUACGUAGGGGGCAAGCGUUAUCCGGAUUUACGGGGGGUAAAGGGAGCGUAGACGGCAGCGCAAGUCUGAAGUGAAAUGCCGGGGCUUAACCCCGGAACGGCUUUGGAAACGGUGCAGCUAGAGUGCAGGCGAGGUAAGUGGCAUUCCUCGUGUCGCGGUGAAAUGCGUCGUUAUUAGGAGGCACCCCAGUGGCGAAGGCGGCUUACUGGACUGUAACUGACGUUGCGGCUCGAACGCGUGGGGAGCAAACAGGAUUAGAUACCCGGGUAGUC
This 440-nucleotide ribosomal RNA is filed under the name uncultured bacterium. RNAcentral describes it as "partial 16S ribosomal RNA". It matches the Rfam family "Bacterial small subunit ribosomal RNA", at positions 338 to 795 of the family's 1533-position model. The record is from RNAcentral.